GAUGAAGAACGUAGCGAAAUGCGAUAAGUAAUGUGAAUUGCAGAAUUCAGUGAAUCAUCGAAUCUUUGAACGCACAUUGCGCCCUCUGGUAUUCCGGAGGGCAUGCCUGUUCGAGCGUCAUUUCACCACUCAAGCCUGGCUUGGUAUUGGGCGCCGCGGUGUUCCGCGCGCCUCAAAGUCUCCGGCUGAGCUGUCCGUCUCCAAGCGUUGUGAUUUCAUUAAUCGCUUCGGAGUGCGGGCGGCCGCGGCCGUUAAAUCUUUCACAGGGUUGACCUCGGAUCAGGUAGGGAUACCCGCUGAACUUAAGCAUAUCAAUAAGCGGAGGA
RNAcentral lists this unclassified non-coding RNA (326 nucleotides) under soil metagenome. RNAcentral describes it as "partial contains 5.8S ribosomal RNA, internal transcribed spacer 2, and large subunit ribosomal RNA". The stretch from base 1 to 120 matches the Rfam family "5.8S ribosomal RNA", at positions 35 to 154 of the family's 154-position model. The record is from RNAcentral.